UACGGGGGGGGCAAGCGUUAUUCGGAAUUAUUGGGCGUAAAGGGCGCGUAGGCGGCCAUGCGUGUCUUCCGUGAAAUCCCUCGGCUUAACUGAGGACGUGCGGAAGAAACUGCAAGGCUCGAGUCCGGGAGAGGGGGGUGGAAUUCCCAGUGUAGCGGUGAAAUGCGUAGAUAUUGGGAGGAACACCGGUGGCGAAGGCGGCCCCCUGGACCGGUACUGACGCUGAGGCGCGAAAGCGUGGGUAGCAAACGGG
This 253-nucleotide ribosomal RNA is filed under the name uncultured bacterium. RNAcentral's name for it is "partial 16S ribosomal RNA". It matches the Rfam family "Bacterial small subunit ribosomal RNA", at positions 524 to 776 of the family's 1533-position model. The record is from RNAcentral.